AACGAACGCUGGCGGCAUGCCUAAUACAUGCAAGUCGAACGAGAUCUUCGGAUCUAGUGGCGCACGGGUGCGUAACGCGUGGGAAUCUGCCCUUGGGUUCGGAAUAACUUCUGGAAACGGAAGCUAAUACCGGAUGAUGACGUAAGUCCAAAGAUUUAUCGCCCAAGGAUGAGCCCGCGUAGGAUUAGGUAGUUGGUGAGGUAAAGGCUCACCAAGCCGACGAUCCUUAGCUGGUCUGAGAGGAUGAUCAGCCACACUGGGACUGAGACACGGCCCAGACUCCUACGGGAGGCAGCAGUAGGGAAUAUUGGACAAUGGGCGAAGGCCUGAUCCAGCAAUGCCGCGUGAGUGAUGAAGGCCUUAGGGUUGUAAAGCUCUUUUACCCGGGAUGAUAAUGACAGUACCGGGAGAAUAAGCUCCGGCUAACUCCGUG
Molecule: ribosomal RNA, 433 nt
Filed under: uncultured bacterium
Lineage: Bacteria
Description: partial 16S ribosomal RNA
Rfam family: Bacterial small subunit ribosomal RNA
Source: RNAcentral